UACGGAGGGUGCAAGCGUUGUUCGGAAUCAUUGGGCGUAAAGCGCACGUAGGCGGGUUUGUAUGUCGAUUGUGAAAGCCCCGGGCUUAACCUGGGAAUUGCAGUCGAAACUGCAGAUCUUGAAUACCUGAGAGGGUGGGAGAAUUGCUGGUGGAGUAGUGAAAUACGUAGAGAUCAGCAGGAAUACCAGAGGCGAAGGCGCCUACCUGGCAGUGUAUUGACGCUGAGGUGCGAAAGCGUGGGGAGCAAACAGG
This 253-nucleotide ribosomal RNA is filed under the name uncultured bacterium. RNAcentral describes it as "partial 16S ribosomal RNA". It matches the Rfam family "Bacterial small subunit ribosomal RNA", at positions 524 to 776 of the family's 1533-position model. The record is from RNAcentral.